CCUACGGGUGGCAGCAGUGAGGAAUAUUGGUCAAUGGGCGAGAUCCUGAACCAGCCAAGUAGCGUGAAGGAUGACGGCCCUAUGGGUUGUAAACUUCUUUUGUCAGGGAAUAAAGUCCGGCACGUGUGCCGGUCUGUGUGUAUCCUAUGAAUAAGCAUCGGCUAACUCCGUGCCAGCAGCCGCGGUAAUACGGAGGAUGCGAGCGUUAUCCGGAUUUAUUGGGUUUAAAGGGUGCGUAGGCGGUUCGUUAAGUCAGCGGUAAAAUUGCGGGGCUCAACCCUGUCGUGCCGUUGAAACUGGCGGACUUGAGUAGGCGAGAAGUACGCGGAAUGCGCGGUGUAGCGGUGAAAUGCAUAGAUAUCACGAAGAACUCCGAUUGCGAAGGCAGCGUACCGGCGCCAGACUGACGCUGAGGCACGAAAGUGUGGGUAUCGAACAGGAUUAGAUACCCGAGUAGUC
This 459-nucleotide ribosomal RNA is filed under the name uncultured bacterium. RNAcentral's name for it is "partial 16S ribosomal RNA". It matches the Rfam family "Bacterial small subunit ribosomal RNA", at positions 338 to 795 of the family's 1533-position model. The record is from RNAcentral.